Molecule: ribosomal RNA, 505 nt
Filed under: uncultured bacterium
Lineage: Bacteria
Description: partial 16S ribosomal RNA
Rfam family: Bacterial small subunit ribosomal RNA
Source: RNAcentral
GACGAACGCUGGCGGCGUGCCUAAUACAUGCAAGUCGAACGCACAGUUUAUACCGUAGCUUGCUACACCAUAGACUGUGAGUUGCGAACGGGUGAGUAACGCGUAGGUAACCUGCCUGGUAGCGGGGGAUAACUAUUGGAAACGAUAGCUAAUACCGCAUAAUAUUAAUUAUUGCAUGAUAAUUAAUUGAAAGGUGCAAUUGCACCACUACCAGAUGGACCUGCGUUGUAUUAGCUAGUAGGUGAGGUAACGGCUCACCUAGGCGACGAUACAUAGCCGACCUGAGAGGGUGAUCGGCCACACUGGGACUGAGACACGGCCCAGACUCCUACGGGGGGCAGCAGUAGGGAAUCUUCGGCAAUGGACGAAAGUCUGACCGAGCAACGCCGCGUGAGUGAAGAAGGUUUUCGGAUCGUAAAGCUCUGUUGUAAGAGAAGAACGGGUGUGAGAGUGGAAAGUUCACACUGUGACGGUAUCUUACCAGAAAGGGACGGCUAACUACGUG